AGUGAACGCUGGCGGUAGGCCUAACACAUGCAAGUCGAACGGCAGCACAGUAAGAGCUUGCUCUUACGGGUGGCGAGUGGCGUACGGGUGAGGAAUACAUCGGAAUCUACUUUUUCGUGGGGGAUAACGUAGGGAAACUUACGCUAAUACCGCAUACGACCUACGGGUGAAAGCAGGGGAUCUUCGGACCUUGCGCGAUUGAAUGAGCCGGUGUCGGAUUAGCUAGUUGGCGGGGUAAAGGCCCACCAAGGCGACGAUCCGUAGCUGGUCUGAGAGGAUGAUCAGCAAAACUGGAAGGGAGACACGGUCCAGAGGACUACGGGAGGAAGCAGUGGGGAAUAUUGGACAAUGGGGGCAAGCAUGAUCCAGCAAGACCGCGUGGGUGAAGAAGGCCUUCGGGUUGUAAAGCCCGUUUGUUGGGAAAGAAAAGCAGCAGGUUAAGACCCCGCUGUUCUGACGGUACCCAAAGAAUAAGCACCGGCUAACUUCGUG
This 492-nucleotide ribosomal RNA is filed under the name uncultured bacterium. Its description in RNAcentral is "partial 16S ribosomal RNA". It matches the Rfam family "Bacterial small subunit ribosomal RNA", at positions 29 to 507 of the family's 1533-position model. The record is from RNAcentral.